AUUGAACGCUGGCGGCAUGCCUUACACAUGCAAGUCGAACGGUAACAGGUUAAGCUGACGAGUGGCGAACGGGUGAGUAAUACAUCGGAACGUGCCCAGUAGUGGGGGAUAGCCCGGCGAAAGCCGGAUUAAUACCGCAUACGACCUAAGGGUGUAUGGUGGGGAUCGCAAGACCUCUCGCUAUUGGAGCGGCCGAUGUCCGAUUAGCUAGUUGGUGGGGUAAAAGCUCACCAAGGCGACGAUCUGUAGCUGGUCUGAGAGGACGACCAGCCACACUGGGACUGAGACACGGCCCAGACUCCUACGGGAGGCAGCAGUGGGGAAUUUUGGACAAUGGGCGCAAGCCUGAUCCAGCCAUGCCGCGUGCGGGAAGAAGGCCUUCGGGUUGUAAACCGCUUUUGUCAGGGAAGAAAUCCUUUGGGUUAAUACCUCGGGGGGAUGACGGUACCUGAAGAAUAAGCACCGGCUAACUACGUG
This 477-nucleotide ribosomal RNA is filed under the name uncultured bacterium. RNAcentral describes it as "partial 16S ribosomal RNA". It matches the Rfam family "Bacterial small subunit ribosomal RNA", at positions 30 to 507 of the family's 1533-position model. The record is from RNAcentral.